Long non-coding RNA from Schistocerca nitens (vagrant locust), 569 nucleotides. RefSeq lists it as uncharacterized. The record is from RefSeq and is a predicted model, not a curated record. The transcript has 4 exons. Lineage: Eukaryota; Metazoa; Arthropoda; Insecta; Orthoptera; Acrididae.
GUUUUGUUUUUGUUUCCCGACGCUCGCAUUCGAAUUGGGGAGGGAUGAACAAACGCACACGGCCACACUUGAAUGUUCAAUGUUGGAGUUAUUGUGUUUGUUGGAUGUAACAGAGCCGUUGGUGUUUUGUUGGAACUGUGCCUCUGCUUGGACAUGGAAACAUCUUAUUGACAACCAUCUGCUCCAGCAACUACUACUGUACUCAUCUCUGCAGUAAGCACUUGUGGAGCAACUCAGGUUUCCGAGGGACCGUAACCGAAGAAAAAGACAGGCCAUAAAUUACCACAGACAGAACUGGAACCAGGUCCUGGCAUAUGAUGCAGCUGUCAGCAGCACCUCUGAUUCAAAAUUUCUGAAGUUUUGCAAGAUGCAGUUAGGGGUGACCAGGUCAAAGUCUUGGGAUUGAUACAUAAUUAACUGUGGUGGGUUGUAUUUUACUAUUUGUGGUGGUUGUCCUAUUGUUCGUCAUCCUAUGAAAUAGAGAGAUCUAGUUUUUGACCCCUAGUUGGGCCUAGAAUUUUUCUUCAUACUUCCCAUACUUACAUUGAACUCUCAGGCUGUACUUUAUU